AUUGAACGCUUGCGGCAGGCCUAACACAUGCAAGUCGGGCGGUAACAGGGAUAGCUUGCUAUCUGCUGACGAGCGGCGGACGGGUGAGUAAUGCAUAGGAAUCUGCCUGGUAGUGGGGGAUAGCCCAGAGAAAUUUGGAUUAAUACCGCAUACGCCCUACGGGGGAAAGCAGGGGAUCUUCGGACCUAGCGCUAUCAGAUGAGCCUAUGUCGGAUUAGCUUGUUGGUGAGGUAACGGCUCACCAAGGCGACGAUCCGUAGCUGGUCUGAGAGGAGAUCAGCCACAC
RNAcentral lists this ribosomal RNA (286 nucleotides) under uncultured bacterium. RNAcentral describes it as "partial 16S ribosomal RNA". It matches the Rfam family "Bacterial small subunit ribosomal RNA", at positions 30 to 313 of the family's 1533-position model. The record is from RNAcentral.